GGCGAACGGGUGAGUAACACGUGGGUAAUCUGCCCUGCACUCUGGGACAAGCCCUGGAAACGGGGUCUAAUACCGGAUAUGACCACUUGGGGCAUCUCAUGGUGGUGGAAAGCGUUUAGUGGUGCAGGAUGAGCCCGCGGCCUAUCAGCUUGUUGGUGGGGUGAUGGCCUACCAAGGCGACGACGGGUAGCCGGCCUGAGAGGGCGACCGGCCACACUGGGACUGAGACACGGCCCAGACUCCUACGGGAGGCAGCAGUGGGGAAUAUUGCACAAUGGGCGGAAGCCUGAUGCAGCGACGCCGCGUGAGGGAUGACGGCCUUCGGGUUGUAAACCUCUUUCAGCAGGGAAGAAGCGAGAGUGACGGUACCUGCAGAAGAAGCACCGGCUGACUACGUGCCAGCAGCCGCGGUAAUACGUAGGGUGCGAGCGUUGUCCGGAAUUAUUGGGCGUAAAGAGCUCGUAGGCGGCGUGUCACGUCGGAUGUGAAAGCCCGGGGCUUAACCCCGGGUCUGCAUUCGAUACGGGCUCGCUAGAGUUCGGUAGGGGAGAUCGGAAUUCCUGGUGUAGCGGUGAAAUGCGCAGAUAUCAGGAGGAACACCGGUGGCGAAGGCGGAUCUCUGGGCCGAUACUGACGCUGAGGAGCGAAAGCGUGGGGAGCGAACAGGAUUAGAUACCCUGGUAGUCCACGCCGUAAACGUUGGGAACUAGGUGUG
RNAcentral lists this ribosomal RNA (715 nucleotides) under Streptomyces sp. Its description in RNAcentral is "bacterial SSU rRNA". It matches the Rfam family "Bacterial small subunit ribosomal RNA", at positions 97 to 824 of the family's 1533-position model. Lineage: Bacteria; Bacillati; Actinomycetota; Actinomycetes; Kitasatosporales; Streptomycetaceae. The record is from RNAcentral.